This is a long non-coding RNA of Populus nigra (black poplar), 537 nucleotides long. RefSeq lists it as uncharacterized. The record is from RefSeq and is a predicted model, not a curated record. The transcript has 2 exons. Lineage: Eukaryota; Viridiplantae; Streptophyta; Magnoliopsida; Malpighiales; Salicaceae.
UGUAAUUGAAUGGCAACGGCUUCGACUUUGAAAUCGUCUUGGUUCUCAGUUUUUCCAUCUGAAACAAUUUUCUUUACAAAGAUACGUGAUCAAGGAGUCCAUGUUUGCUUAUUAUAUAUACGUAUGUUCUUAACAAAUGUGCUUUGUAUUACAAGAAAAAUGGCUUCUAAGAAAUUUGUGUGUUCUUGGAAUGUUUUCUUGAUUGUCAUGCUGCUUCUGGUCUCUGCAAUGGGAUCAAGGGAUCUGCCAAAGACCACCAUGCCUCGUAUGACUCGCGAAAAGGCUUAUCAUCCUAGGAUACUUCAGGGACAGAAGAAUCCUAGAGGAGGAGCUCCUUGGGAUGGCCAUUACUAGGCUUCCCUUCCUAGGGUUCAAUUAAUUAUAUUUUCUUAACUCAUCUCCUGAUCUGUGCCUGGCAUUGACUAUGCAUAAGGGCUGAGCCUGAUAUCAAAAAAUCCUGCCAGAAUUGUAGCCGGAAAGAGAGAAAUAAAUGACUGAAGAUAAUAUCUUUUUUUUUUUAAUAAAAAUGUUGCAAAA